Molecule: long non-coding RNA, 1033 nt
Organism: Brienomyrus brachyistius
Lineage: Eukaryota; Metazoa; Chordata; Actinopteri; Osteoglossiformes; Mormyridae
Exons: 3
Source: RefSeq, a predicted model, not a curated record
ACGCGGAGAGCAUAAUUCUUUGUGAAUGUUGGUACGCGGAGAGCAUAAUUCUUUGUGAAUGUUGGUACGCAGAGAGCGUAAUACUUUCUGAAUGUUGGUACGCGGCGAGCGCAAUUCUUUCUGAAUGUUGGUAUGUGGAGAGCGCAAUACUUUCUGAGGUGGUACGUAGAGAGCGUAAUACUUUCUGAGGUGGUACGUGGAGAGCGUAAUACUUUCUGAAUGUUGGUACGCGGAGAGCGUAAUACUUUCUGAGGCAGUAUGCGGUAUAAAAAGUUUGUGAACCACUGCUUUAGAGGUUUUUGAGGACAUGUUUUUAAACUGUCACAUGUGACCAACCUGAAGUCCUGGGGAUCGCUGGAGCGCCUCAGACUUGUCAGCACCAACCAGAAUCUCGGGGGGGCGACUGACUAUCACCACGCUCUCACUACACUCCACGGCGCAACCGAGAAACUGAGGUUGGUGCCCCAUCCUCGAUUGUUCCCUGCCUUGUGCCUACAGUCUUUGGGACAGGUUCCGAAUCCCCUGUGACCCUAAACAGGAUAAGGAGAUACUGAAGAUGGAUGUAUGAAUGGAUGGAAGACAGACUGGCACCUCAUCCUGGACUCUCUCUGUUUUACUUCCUACCCUCCCUGGUUGGCAUCCAGGCUUAUCCAAACCCUAUACUGGAUAAGCAAUUACAAAGGACUGAUGGACAAAUCACUGACAUUUCAAAUGAUUAUGCGCUGGUUCUCAUUACUGCUCUGUCUGUAAAACAAAUGCUGAAUAUCAAUACUGUGCGUUUAAAAUAGCAGCUUACAUUUUAUAUUCCUCAGUACCAUUUGAUCAAAGAUGACUUUUUCAGCACCAACGCGAGUGUCUGGCUUUAAUUUAAUUAGUUCUCUCUCAGCGGAAGCGGUGCCAGCAGGAAGUUGAAAGGUUUCAGUGGGAAACCCGGAAUACAUCCACCUUUUGAUUAAAAGGGGAACAUUUUAAUCAGCAGUGACUCAUUUUAAAGAAAUAUUGGAUCAUAAAUGUAUACAAUAUUUUUAUGAAU